ACUUCUUAUCCUAUAGCAUAUUCCAUUGCCAUAUUCUAUAGAAUUUACAGAUCCUAUAGAAUAUUCUAUUGUACAUAAAUUCACAUUAAAUAUCGAAUGAUAUAUUCUAUAGAACAUGCUGUACACAAUAAUCUAUAGAAUGUUAUACAGAAUGUGACCUUUAUGUAAUAAUUAAGGCAAUUUAAAAUAUAACAAUUUUAGUACACGAUUGAUAUUGGUCGAGAAAUGUGUUUUCAUCUGUCUAGAAACACAAAAGUUGAAUAGCAUCAUAUUCGUAUUUUGUGUGAGGUCCUCUCGACAUACUUUUUAAGUCUUAAUGUUAAAAUUCUCCGCAAAAAUCAUUCGUUUUGUAAGGACAAAUCACAAGUAUUUCACACAUAUCUGUUUCAUAAUAUGCCUGUUCGCAGGUUAGAUGGCGGGCGUUUUGCCCAAACAAGGCCGCAAAGUUAUGUGGGACUUGUGUAACUGACACGCAUAUAUAACGCAUUAUUUUCAAAUUUUGAGCGCGUCUUUGUCAUUCGUUCAACGUUUUAUAACUGAUAUUGGUGGAAUUUAGCGAGUUUUUCUUUCCUAUUUUAACAUAAAAUACGCAGUACUUGAAUUUGUCGAUGAGGAGUAUAGGAGGUUGGUGAAACGCGCUGGAUUAUGUGAGAAGAAUCAGAAGAUUCGGAUUAUUUUGUGAAUGGUACAUGACUAUAGACUAGGAUCGUGAGAAAGAAAUUGUGUCAAGGCCAUCAGAAAAUUUCUCAAAGGUUCCAUUGACCCAUCUACAAUUUCAACAACAACAUGUGAAGCUAAAGUAUUGGAAUUAAGUGGUGCCCUUAUGUCCCAGUGUCUCAAUAACAAAGACUCAACAGAAGGUUUUAAAAGGAAAAGGCAAUUAAUUUAAAGGAUUUUGUGUACUCAAUAUUAUGGGUAUAUUGUGGAGCCGGGAGGUUCUGUCCACACACUCCAUGACAGGAAAGAUCUCCAAUGCAUUAAAGGAGAAGGAUGCCAAGCCACAACUUGACAAGGAAAAAGUCAAUGGCAUAUGUGAGUAUACUUCAAAAAGAUAUGGUUGUCCUGCAUCUGAAGUGUGACAAGUAAUGCUAAGAAAAUGCUAAAAAGAAGUCCUGCGAAAAAUAAUGAACUGAGCUACUGGUCAGACAAACACUUUAAAAAUAUCCAACAUAUAGAAUAAUAGAC
Long non-coding RNA from Dendronephthya gigantea, 1185 nucleotides. RefSeq lists it as uncharacterized. The record is from RefSeq and is a predicted model, not a curated record. The transcript is spliced from 3 exons. NCBI's taxonomy places the organism in Eukaryota, Metazoa, Cnidaria, Anthozoa, Malacalcyonacea, Nephtheidae.